This 1351-nucleotide ribosomal RNA is filed under the name metagenome. RNAcentral describes it as "bacterial LSU rRNA". It matches the Rfam family "Bacterial large subunit ribosomal RNA", at positions 1566 to 2925 of the family's 2925-position model. The record is from RNAcentral.
AAUACGAAAUGCUGCUGCAUUGAAGUGAUCUAUGCCAGGCUUCCAAGAAAAUCUCGUCAUAUCUUAAGCAGUAGAUGCCUGUACCUUAAACCGACACAGGUAGGUAGGUAGAGUAUACCAAGGGGCGCGAGAUAACUCUCUCUAAGGAACUCGGCAAAAUAACCUCGUAACUUCGGAAGAAGAGGUACCCUUGAAAAAGGGUUGCAAUAACCAGACCCUGGCGACUGUUUACCAAAAACACAGGUCUCCGCUAAUUCGUAAGAUCAAGUAUGGAGGCUGACGCCUGCCCAGUGCCGGAAGGUUAAAGAAGUUGGUCAAUCUUUGGACGAAGCUGGCGACUGAAGCCCCGGUGAACGGCUGCCGUAACUAUAACGGUCCUAAGGUAGCGAAGUUCCUUGUCGGGUAAGUUCCGACCGGCACGAAAGGCGUAACGAUCAGGGUGCUGUCUCGGAGAGAGACUCGGCGAAAUAGACAUGUCUGUGAAGAUGCGGACUACCUGCACCUGGACAGAAAGACCCUAUGAAGCUUUACUGUAUCUUGGAAUUGGGUUUGGGCCUUGCUUGCGCAGAAUAGGUGGGAGGCUGUGAAGAUAUUCUUGCGGGAAUGUUGGAGCCAACGGUGAGAUACCACUCUAGUAAGGCUAAAAUUCUAACUCUGAACCGUUAUCCGGUCAGAGAACAGUUUCAGGUGGGCAGUUUGACUGGGGCGGUCGCCUCCUAAAAGCUAACGGAGGCGCGCAAAGGUUCCCUCAGGCUGGUUGGACAUCAGUCGUAGAGUGUAAAGGCAUAAGGGAGCUUGACUGCGAGACCCACAAGUCGAGCAGAGACGAAAGUCGGCCUUAGUGAUCCGACGGUUCCACGUGGAAGGGCCGUCGCUCAACGGAUAAAAGUUACUCUAGGAUAACAGGCUGAUCUCCCCCAAGAGUUCACAUCGACGGGGAGGUUUGGCACCUCGAUGUCGGCUCAUCGCAUCCUGGGACGGUAGUACGUCCCAAGGGUUGGGCUGUUCGCCCAUGAAAGCGGUACGCGAGCUGGGUUCAGAACGUCGUGAGACAGUUCGGUCCAUAUCCGGUGCAGGCGUUAGAGCAUUGAGAGGAGUCCCCCUUAGUACGAGAGGACCGGGGGGAAUACACCUGGUGUACCAGUUAUCGUGCCAACGGUAAACGCUGGGUAGCCAUGUGUAGCGCGGAUAACUGCUGAAAGCAUCUAAGUAGGAAGCCCACCUUAAGAUGAGUGCUCUCACCGCUAUAAGCGGGUAAGGUCACGGUAAGAACAACCGUUAUAUAGGCAUUAGGUAUACGUGCAGUAAUGCAUUUAGCUGAGAUGUACUAACAGACCGAGGGCUUGAUCAA